UUAAACUGAAAAACUCUUAAUAAUAUCUGAAUAAUUUUAGAAAUAGAAUAAAGUGUUGUUUGGAUGAAAAUAAUACAUCAAAGUUUCCCAAAUGAGGUAUUUAUGAAAUAAAAGAAGUUGANNNNNNNNNNNNNNNNNNCAGAAGAGACGUCUACAUGCCAACCUCAAGUAUGAGUAAAGGAUUUCACCGCAAAAUUUAAGGUUCACCCUAUACCUGAAAAUCUACGAUUGCACAUCGUAGGGCCAAGCCAACAAAUAAAAAGUAACAGGGUAAGCACUAAUCUUUUAUCUUUUACUAGUAAAAGGAAGGUUGAGUUGCUCCUAGGCCUUCAUUGUGAUGAUGUGGCACCUCUAAUAAAAUUGCUUACAAAAGGAUAUAUCAAUACUAAAAAAUGAAAAAAUAAAAAAUUAAAUUAAAAGGGACCAACUAAAAUUAAAUACUCCUAAAACAAAACGGAAAUUUUUCUUAUAAUUUGUGAUUGUGUUAAUCCUCUAGAACUUGAAAGAGCACAACUUUUCAUAUAUAAAAAAAAUUUACAAAAUUAAACAUAUUUAUAGUUGAGUAGUAUCCUGUAUAAAUGUGCAAUAACCUAUCCACUUUCUCACAUCAUGCAAUUGUACUACUCAUUUUGUGUGUUCAUUCUUUAAUCAAUCAACCUCUUUGUACUGAAAUGUGUUUCUUGCUCAAAGGAACUUCAACAAGCUAAGUAUCAUCGUUUCAAACUCUCAUUUUUUUGCGUUAUGAGUAUAUUUUAAAGAUUACAUAAAUUCAUUAGUGUGUGUUUCUAUAUAUAUAUAUAGUUACAUUCCCAAGCAUGCGACUCAAUGUUUAAGAAAUUGAUAUACAUAGGUACGAGAUAAUUGUCUUUCAUUUAAGUUUGUAAAUUAUAAUUGUUUGAUUGCUCUUAUGAUCUUAUAAGACAUCAUAUCUAAUAACCUUUUUAAUUAUCUCUAUCUUUUUUCAGGUUGAAAAUGGUCAUUUAGUGUUUUGUUCCACAGUUGCAAGCUUUAAGUAAUUGUUAGAAUAUUGUAUUUAUUUUCAAUUUUCAAAUCUAUUUAUCUAUCUUCUAUCUAUUAAGCAAGCAUUGUGAUGAUUUGACACCUCUAAAAAAAUUUAUGCAACUUCUUAUUCUAGGUAAAUAAAUAAAUCAUAUAACUUUUACAAUUCUACAACUUUCUAUCUAUCUAUCUAUAAUAAAAAAAAUUGAUUUUGGAUCAUCAUCGCUUUAUUCAAACAACUAUUUGAUGAUACUCUUCAAAUUUUUCAUUGGCUUUUCUUAUAGGAUUGAAGCUGAAGUCACUAUAUAUUUAGAUUAACCAAAUCUUUUUCCAUUAUUUUAUUUCAUAAUAUUGUGGAUAUUACAUUGUAUAUGUGCUAAAACUUUCCGGUAAAAAAAAAAAGUGUUAAAACUACAACCAUCUUUAUGUUUUACAUUUUUCAUUCAUAAUCAUUAUGAAUUAUGUCUUCUAAUAAUUGUGGAUUACGUUUUUCUAUAAUGGAGUUAUGUGUGCGGUCAAAAUCAACAUGCAUUUUUUGGAGCUAGAUAUAUGACCAAUAACAUGUAUGUGACGGUUCGUCUUCAACAAGGUGUGUAUUUUACUCUUGGUUAUUUUGAAGCCUCCAUAUUUUUGCCUAUGUAGCAUGCUUUAGAGAAAAUUUUCUCUAGCUAUAUUUAAACAUUACUCUAAAAUUUAUUUUGUGUCCAUUCAUCAUCCAAAUCAUUGGUCUUGAGACUAACAUAAAUUAUAUCUAGGCAGAUUAUAAUGGGUUUAAAACAAAUGCAAAUAUUGUAAAAAAUAAAAUGCAAGUAACAUAAUAUUACGUUUAUAUAUGGUAUAUUAUAUCUAUACAUAUAUAUAUCUUGGAAGUAUUGAAAAUUAAUAAGUAACAAAUAAUGUAAAUUAAUGGUGCUAAAAUAAAAAAAGAGGAUCAAAAUUAUAAAAGAAAAAAAAUGAAAAUACGUCACUAAAGUAUGUAUAUAUAAAUUAUAUGUAUGCUCAACAUAAAAAAUAUACUAUGUAUAUAUAAUGACAUUUACUAUUCCUAUUCAUUAUUCAAAGGUUACAUAUUAUUCACUUUCUAUUAGAAUGAAAUAACUUUUUGCAUUGAAUACCUUAUGGGUUGAUGGUUACAUUUCAAGUAUUCGUUUUUGUGGUGGUUGAUGAGUCAAUCUCUUGAAUAUCAGGUAUGUUACUCAAUGAUUAAAAAAUUAUAUUAGUUUACAUAUAUGUCUUUUAUUGUUUAUAAAUUUCAAUUUUUUAUACGUUCUCAAAAUCUUUCAAGACAUCAACUCUAGUAAUUUUCAUGUGUAACUAGGUUACUGGAUUUAUAAAUUGUAUCCUUUAUAUUACUUUUAUGAUCUUGCAAGACUACAAUUCGAUCUAAUAAUUUUUUGUGCAUAAUAUUUUGAGUAUAUGAUUUAAGAGCUCUAUAUUAUAAAAAAAAAAAGUAUUGCAUUCUAAUAAGCACUACUAAAUUAUACUGAAAACCCGAAUAAAAAUUAUUCAAUAGCAAAAGACAAAAAAAAUAUGAGGGGACAAGAAAAAUCAUUAAAAAAAAUGAAAGAUAAAAAAAAUGAAUUAAGCAUAGUAAAAAAAAGAUAAAUAAAAUCGCUAGCUAAAAACAUUAUGAAAAUUUUUGACCAAUAAAAUAUGGGAUAUAAAUAUUCUACCAAGUGAAUGUUUGAGAAGAAACUUCAAUAGAAACAAUUUAUUAUCAGAACAAGAANNNNNNNNNNNNNNNNNNNNNNNNNNNNUUUUCAAGAUUAAGAUGAAAAAUCAUCAACUAUAUAAAUUGUUGAUGCUCAUACGUCAAAAUAAAUUUUAGAAAUUGUUGAAACUGUAGAUAUUAAAACAUAAUUACAUGCAAAAUAUUAAGGUGAUUUAGAUAAUCUCAUUCUUUACAUAUAGUGUGUGCAUGUGAUCUGAAAUUCACUAAAAAUUCCAAAAUUAUUGAUUUGAUUUAAAUAAUAAUGCAAAUAUUUAAAUAAAAUAAGUACAUAUUCUAUAAAGUGUUAAAAAAAAUGUUUAAGUUACGGCUCAAAAUAAAAUAGUGAGAUGUUGGUAAGAAAAAUAUAACAUUUUUUUAAGCAAAUAAUAAGAUGACAUGUGAAAUUCAUAUAUAUAAAAUCAUCAUCCAAACUUAUAUAUUGGCAACAAAAAAUAUUCACAUUUAUAACAAAAAUAAACUAAGAUCUUAUAAAGAAAAUCAACAUCCAAACUAAGAUCUUAUUGAAAAAAAAGUACAUCAAAAAUAAAAAGCAAAGUGGUACAUGUGACUAUACAGUUGCAAUUCAUCUAAAGAAAACUAAGAUCUUAUACAAUUACACUAUUAAAAUAAAAUAUGAUUCUAAAAUAUUAUAAGAGAUCUAUUACAUUAAAUUAUAAACAAAACUACGAUAUAAAUUAAUGAAAAAUCUCAUAUUUCUANNNNNNNNNNNNNNNNNNNNNNNNNNNNNNNNNNNNNNNNNNNNNNNNACUUAUAUACUAAUAUUAAAUAUAAUCAUAUUUUAAAUUAAUGUCUAUCUUUUAACUAUAUAUGAUUAUACUUAUCACAAUUAUUAUUUUUUAUUUAUAAAAAUAUUAUAAUUAUAUAUUUUAAUUGAACCCGUGCAACGCACGGGUUUACCCCUAGUAUUCAAUAACUGAGAUGAAUGCAAGCAAAGUAAUUAAAUAAAUAAAUAAAUAUGUAACGAUUGGUAAAUGCUAAUAAAAAUGAAUUACAUAAACAAUACAAAAAGUACAAAUAGCAAAGUAACUAAAUUUCAAAAUCAAAUAAAAUCAAUUCCCAAAUGUAGGCUAUGUCAUAAAAAUUCAAAACUCCCUAAUACACGUGGUACCAGGGUCGGAGGUCAUAAAUGUACACUCCUCUACACGACAACAAAUUCGGAAGCCGAGAUAAAUUGUAAUCGGUCAUUCCUCUACACGACAACAAAUUUGGAAGCCGAGAUAAAUUGUAAUCGGUCAUUCCUCUGCACGACAACAAGUGGAACCAAGAUAAAUUGUGUAACACCCAAACCCGUUAAUUAAUUAACUCUGCCUUUAUAAAAUCUUUUUCGAAAAUACGCAGCGGAAAAAUUGAAAAUAUGGUUAUAAAGCGCUGGUUUGAAUACUACAAG
RNAcentral lists this long non-coding RNA (4118 nucleotides) under Trifolium pratense (red clover). Its description in RNAcentral is "long non-coding RNA (TPRA_LNC012053)". Lineage: Eukaryota; Viridiplantae; Streptophyta; Magnoliopsida; Fabales; Fabaceae. The record is from RNAcentral.